Molecule: long non-coding RNA, 13113 nt
Filed under: Ananas comosus (pineapple)
Lineage: Eukaryota; Viridiplantae; Streptophyta; Magnoliopsida; Poales; Bromeliaceae
Description: long non-coding RNA (ACOM_LNC002897)
Source: RNAcentral
UAUGAUAUACAUUUAGGUAUCGUUUGGUUCGGGGAUAAGCAAAAAGUGGGUAUUCCAGGGAUAGGUAUAAAUUGAGGUACAAGCGGGGAUUAGAUCAAUUUUACGUUUGGAUGAAAAUUGGGUUAUUUCUGGGAAUAAGAAAAAUAACGUUUGGUUAGGUAAGAUGGAAUAAGAAUUAAAGUGGGUAGUUAUAAAUAAAAAUUAAUAAUAUUAUCUCUUUCUUUAUAUUAGAAUUUGAAUUUUUAUAUUUUAUAUUUAUAUUUUAGAAUUUAAAAUAUAAACUUUUAAAUUUUAAAAUUUUAAAAUCUCAAAUUUACAAUUUUAAUUCUAAUCUUUAAAUUUAAGAUAAAUUUAAUUUGAAUAAAAAUAAAUUUUCAAAUUUAAAAUUUUAAAAAUUAAAUUAUCAAAAUCAAUUUAAAAUUAAAAAUGUGGAAUUUAACAUUAAAACUUUAUUUUGAGAUUAAACAAUUUUAAAAUUUAAAUAUAAUUUAAUUAUCAAUAUUUAAUUUUAAAUUUACUUUAAAUUUUAUUAAAUUCUAAAUUUUAAUUUAUUUAAUAUUAAAUAUAAUUUGUUAUAAAUUUAUUAAAAUUUUAAUAUAAAUAAUAUGUAUUAAUAUAGUACAAUUAAUAAUUUAAUAAUAAAAAUAAUAUAUUAUAAUAUAUAAUAUAUUAUUUUAUAUAAUUUAGUUUUAAUUUAUUUUUUAAUUUUAAUUAAGUUUGAAAUUAAGUAUGGGAAUAGCACUAUUCCAUCAAAAUGGUGGAAUAGUAAAAAGCUUGCUAUUUCGGGAUAACCGGGAAUAGCAAGCUUUGACCGGGAUAAAAUAUUCCGGUAAAAAAUGAUCCUGUUUGGCGAAAUAGUGGGGAUAACUUUCGUUAUCCCCGCUUAUCCCCCGAACCAAACGGGGCCUUAUGGUCUAUAUAACUAAGGAAUCACAGUGGAAUCCAAACAUUACACAACAGUGACACACUAUACUCUCAUUGCUUUAUUAGAGAAUUAAGCUAGUUGAUAGCAAAGAGAGAAUCAAAAGCAAGAACCCUUGGAACAUACAUAAAAAUGAAUUAAAAAAGAAUUAAGUGGAAGAAGCACAACUAACCAACCACGGAUUUAGAAAGGAGAUUAAUUUGAAGAUCAGGGGGCUGCUCCAAAAUAGCCUCAAAUUUUGCCCGAGAAAAUGCUGCGAUCAAAUUACUGGGAGCAGAUGAAAGGAUACAUUAGCGCUAGCUGGAGCCACCAAGAAACUUCCCUCCUGCCCGGCCUUCUCGACCAGCAGCAUUUUGUGGGCAAUAAGAAGCCAUUAAAAAACUAGAGAGUCGAUGGGUACACGGAUACCCAAAAGUUUGUCCCAACUCAAAAUUUGAAUGGAAUCAAUUUAUCAAUAUGAAUAUUAAAAAUAAAAGACCGACGGAUAUAUAUGGUUUUGGAUAUGAAUUUUGUUCGAACCCGACGUCUUGAGUCCCAAUCCAAACCUGAAUUGAUUUUACAUUUUAUAUAUAUAUAUAUAUACACACAUAGGCCUUGGUUACUAUACUAUUANAUAUAUAUAUAUAUAUAUAUAUAUAUAUAUAUAUGGUUUUGGAUAUGAAUUUUAUUCGAAUCCGACCUGAAUCCCAAUCCAAACCCGAAUUCCACCCGAAGCAAAAUUGAUUUUACAUUAUAUAUAUAUUUUUGAUCUUAUAUUCGAAUUUAUAUUUUAAAAAUUUAGAUUUAAUAUAGUAUAUCUUGAAAUAUGAUAAAGAGAAAUAAUUAUUUUAGGUUCAGAUUUUUGGAUUUUUUUUUUUUAUAAGAUUUGGAGUUUGGAUAUAAAUUUUUAAAAUUCAUCGGAUUCGGUGUUGGAUUCAGGUUUUAGGUUUGGUAGUCGAGUUCGGAUUCUGUUUUUUGAAAACCCAUUCGGAAUCUGAUCUGUGGACAUUUCUAUUAAAAACACUUCGCACUGUGGUUUAGAAAAAAUUCUAGAAUGCAACAGAUAUAUUGGUGACAUGGUAUAACAAAUCAAUCAAAAAUCUUCUUUAGAAAUAUAUGUCCCAUCAUGAUUAUAAAAAAAAUUUUUUAUUAUAUUUUUAUUUUAAAAAAAAAUAUAAUUGACUUAUUAUUAAUGAUGUGGUGUAAGUGUGGUAGUACUGAAUUCCUCGUGGUUUAGCCAAGUCGGCUUCAUAAUAGAAAUUUUAAUAUUGAUUAAAAAUUGCUUCACACUGGUUACUGGUACCUUUGCACAUGGCCCCUCAUGGGUAGUUCUCAGAUCAGCUUCAGUUUAGAAUUUUAAAUAUUGAUAAAAUAUUGCUUCACACUGGUAUCUUUGCACGUGACCCCCCUUAUGGGUUGUUCUCAGAUCAGCUACGUAUUGAAAGUUUAAUAUUGAUAAAAAAUAGCUUAUUAAUUCACAUGCUUGCUAGGUCAGCAAUAAAGUUGGUUGUUUCUCUGUGUAAGUUUUUACUGAUACUCUAUGUUUAAUUGGAGAUUUGAUCUUGAGUUAACGCUACGUAGUGGAUGAUGCAAGCCUAAUUAAGUCACGUUGAGAGGGAAGAAGUAUAAGGACGAAAAGAGAGUGAUACACGAAGAAUUAUGUCACACCUCAAUAAUCCCACAUCGGAUAGAAAUUGGGAUGUGAUUGAGUGUAUAAGAGACUUAGACACUAGUAAUAAUAACUGAGUUUAAGCAUUGAGGUCGGUGGUUGGGCCUAACGAAUUAUUAUUGCAAGUGAGCUAGAUCGUUAUAUUUGAUAUCAGAAUCAGUUCACCAGCCUUCACCAGUCGAAAAUGUAUUUGGUAUCAGAGUCAGUUCACCAGCCUUCACCAGUCGAAAAUGUAUGGCGAGUCUCGACUGAGACAAGAUCUGAAAGACAAAGUAAUAUAUUAUGCCGAGGUCUGAAAGAUAAAGUAAUAUACAAUACCGGAGUCUGUAUGACAAGAUAACUGGCUAUACCAGAGUCCAAAGCCUGGAUGGCAAGAUUAGCGAGACGAGUCUUACUAGUGAGCUAGGUCGUUUACAAAUUAAUUUUUCGACAAAGGUGAAAAUAUUAUUAAUCAAAUCUAGAUUAGCGAGACGAGUCUCACUAGUGAGCUAGGUCGUUUACAAAUUAAUUUUUCGACAAAGGUGAAAAUAUUAUUAAUCAAAUCUAAAAAUUUAUUACAUUAACCGAACACCACGUUUAUAUAUAUAGAGGCCAUACUCGAAUCCUACUAGACGAAAAUAAUAAAUUUUAAUGUAUCUCUAAAUUUAAUCAUAUUAGAAAUAAUCAAAUAAUUGGACUAAAAAUAGGAAAAGUAGGAAAGUACUAAACCUUUCAAAAAUAGCCUAAACAUAUAAAAAUGAAAGCUGAAACAAUUGAAUUUGGGCCCCAAACUUGACCCUAACGGCUUUGUCGUUUGAUGCGUAAAUCUCAAAAAGUAUUUUUCGAUUUAGAAUUACAUGCUAAAAUCAAAUAGUUGAAUGAAAAGUUAUGACUGUUUAAAAAAAUUUUGUGUCGAUAAAAAAAAAUUAUCAAAUUCAGCAAAAUUUGAAAAUUUCAACUCAGCUUGGUUGAGCCAUAUUUUUUUCAUGAACUCUCGCCGCAACAAUGGACCUAUAUAUAUAAGAGAAAAAUAUUGAUUCAAAGUUAUUUACUCCAAUUUCUGGAGGGAAAUAGCAAAUGCAAAUUUCUCUCGCUCGCUCUCUCCUAGCACAAAUUUAUAUGUUUAUUUUUUAAGACAUUUUUUUUCUUUUAUUUUUUUCUAACUUUCAAAAAUUUAUAUGUUGUUUUUUUAAAAUUUUAAAAAUAUUUUCAGGAGAUACGAUAUUAAUAGAGAGGGCAAAAUAAUCAAAUUAUUUUUUUUUUAUAAAAAAUAAUUUUUAAUAUAUUUUUAUUAUUUUGUAGAAUAUUUUUGAUAUAAAUUAUAAAAAAUUGAUGAGAUAGUGAUGGAAUCCCAACGGAAUGGGCUAAAGAUAACAAUUUUGUAUAUAAGGAGGUUUUUUAAAUACAAUAACUUGAAAUAUUAAGAGAACAAAGUAUAGAUUUUUGAAAGUUAAGAAAAAAAAGUGAAAAAAUAAAAUUUGACAUUUUUAUUUUUAUUUUUUAUGAAGGUGCCCAUAAGGCAUAAGCCUUGUAAAAUAUAGAUAUAUAAAUAUCAACUUGUCAUUAGAUAAAAGUCUAUUCUUUGCGAGGGAAAAAAAAAAUUUGGGGAAUUUUUUUUGGAAUCUCUUUUAGUUACUCCAAACAGAGUAUGCGAUAUAAUUGUGAUAAUUAAAUCAAAUUUAAGUUAAAAUUAACCCUGAAUCAUGUCGUAGAAUAAAGUUAUAAUUAGUUAUUAAAUUAAUCACACCACAUAGUUGGGAACAAACGUAUCCUCCUCUUUUGAUAGAAAACUUUUUCAGAAUUAAGGGAUGAAUCAGAUUCGUUACAUAUUCUAAUAUUAUAGACACCAUGCGAAGCAGUGGUUUAUUAAAAAUAAUCAAUAUGUUUCUUAAAUCAAUCUGUCUAUAAGAAAAGGUCUAAAGAGAGACUGAUUUUCGUUUCAACGAUCGUAUUCGUUUCAACAAUUAUGAUCAUAUGAGUUGCACCUGUGAAUUAAAAUUAAUUGGCCAACAAGUUGGUCAUCAUUAUUUCAAUAUAAUGGACUCCUCUAAUUUGCUAAAUCCAUACAACAUACUAAUUGACAGUUCUAAAUGUAUACGUGGCGUCAUUUCCUUUUUUACGAAUAAAAAAAUUGUUCUCAGAUUUACCUCCUUCCCAAGAUGCUCUUUGGCUCCUUUUCAAGAUUUUACAUCCUUCCCAAGGCGGUCUUUGACUCCUUCCCAAUGUUUUACCAAGUUGGACCAAGAUAUUGGAGGUUUUCUAAGGCAGCUUUCAGCUCUUUCCCAAGUCACAUGGCACCUUUCCAAUAAGGUGAGGCCCAAAAAAAAAAAAAAUCAAAAAAAUCUGUUACAGCUGUGAACUCCCUAUCUCUCUCUGUGUCUCUCGCACUCUCUCUUCCCCAUCUCCCCUUCUCUCUUUCUCUAAGGUGGCCUCAUUCUCUCUCUCCUUCCUCCUCCAUCUAACUUGUCCCCAUUCUCUCUCUUUCUUACUCCAGCUGCCCCCCACACUCUCUCUCCCUCCCAUACUGUCACGCCCCGGAUUACACUUUUCCCGGGCACGCCGACAAAUCCGCCGUAUACAAAGGAAUUUCCCCUGUAUACGAAGCGAUAGCUGUACCUGUAAAUCAAACACUACUACGAACAGUAGUAGAGAGCUGCUAGAGAAAACAGAAGCUAAAUAAAACAGAGUUUCAUAUACAUAGUUCAGANCCUCUGAACUUAUUUUGAUUAUUUUAUUCUAGUUAAUUUAGUUAAAUUUUUAAAUUCAAGAGCUUUAUUAAUUAGUGUUUACCUAUUAAUUAUUUUCAUAUAUUUUUUAAAAAUUAAUUAAAUUUAACUUAAAUAAAUAAAUUAAUUAAUUAAUUACAAAUUAUUAAUUAAAUUAAAUUUAAAUUUUUAAUUUUUAGAAAUUAACUUAUUAAAUUAAAAAAUUAAAUUAAAUUAUUAGUUAAUUAAAUUAAAUUAAAUUUUUAAAAUUUAAUUAAAUGACUAAAUUUUAAUCAAAUUUAGUCUCCAAACAAAAAUUAUAUGGUGAAUGGGCCCAAACAAAUUCUUCAAACCCGAUACCCGAUACCCGAUACCCGAUACCCGAAAUCCGAAUCCCGAUGCCUUUCACGCUCGUCGACCACCUCCUCAUCGUCUUCCUCUUCCUCUUCCCCUUCUUCUUCACCCCCCCAACUCUUUUCCUCUUUUCCCCUUCUCCACCCAAAAACCCUAGCGUCCUCCUCCUCCUCCUCCUCUCUCUCAUCCUCUCCACCCCCUCCUCGUCCAUGGCGCAGAGCAACAACAGCGCCAUCCCCAUCACCGAGCAGUUCUGGUCCCUUGUCGACAAGGCCGAUCGCCGCUUCUCCCGCGUCCGCGAUCGCCCCUCCCAUGACCGCAAUCGGUAAAACCUAACCCCCUACCUCCCCCAAACCUCUCACCCCGAACCCUAAUUCGAUCCCUCUUCUUCUUCUUCUUCUUCUUGUUCUUCGAUCCAGGGACGACGGGGACUUCCACAAGGCGUUCAAGCUCUACACGCGGCUGUGGAAGGCGUGGCGCUCACCGAGGCCGGGAUGCGGCGGUGGGAGGUGGGCGAGAUCGCGUACCGCAUCGCCCAGCUCUACUACGGCCAGUACUGCCGCACCAGCGACUCCUCCUACCUCGCCGAGGCCUUCGUCUUCUACGAGGCGGUCCUCGACCGCGAGUACCUCCGCGACGCCCCCUCCGCCGCCGCCGCCGCCGCAGCCUCCGAGGUCGCCCUCGCGCAUAAGCAGCUCCGUCUCCUCGUAAGGUUCCUCAACGUUUCGCUCAUCCUCGGGCGCCGCGAGAUGGUCUUGCGGCUCGCAUUGCUCCUCCGGAUUGUCCUCGAGGAGCACAGGCGGAGUUUUCAGGUAUACAACUGUUUGUUUCUUUGUACAUUGUUGUUCAUUUCUAUAUCUGCUCUACAUAAUUCAGCUUGAGUUGUUUGAUAUGAUUAUAGUUUCAUAGUAUUAGUACUUCUUUGUUCUCACAUGCUGCACCAAAGUAUUGCAGAAUAAUUGAGAGAGUAGGUCGACCUUGUUGCUUAGACACUCAGCAACAACAAGUACCAUCUGAAGAGUACAAUUAUUCGCAUAAAUUAAUUUAGGAGUUCUCUUUCUUCAAUUGAUGAUUAAUUAAACUGAAAAUUUUGUAACUUGUCGAAUUUUGUAAAUUGACACUAUAUUCUAUAACUUGUAGGCUGAAACUGUUAAGCUCAAACUGAAAUUGAUGGAAUUUGUGAAAAAAAAAGAGGUUGGGUAGUGAAGUCAAAAAUUUCAAGUCUAGGUGCUCAUUUAAAAGAUGAAGUUUAUGUAGGGCGUUUGCAUUUUUCCUUAUAUUAUAGAUCGUAUGAGUUUCAUUUGAUUUCAAUUUGAUUGGAUCCUAAGUAUCAUAUGUCGUGGCAAUCUCGUUUACUACUGCUCUACAAGUAACUAAAAUAGGCCUUUAGCAGUUUCAGCUUGCUUGUUCAUGUUACUUCAGAUAAGCAGUUUCUAACUCCAACACCAUGAGCAAUCCUUUUACAAAUGAGAACUUGGCAUCCUCUAGCCCUAUCCCCGAAAACCCCUGACUCGGACUCAUAUUGAACAACUGAAGAGCCUUCCCCUAAACCCUACCCUAGCACUUACCACAGGCAUACCAAUGAUUUGUCGUACAAUUUGCUGUUUUACAUGGAGUUUAAUAGAUUUGUAUAAUGUAGAUGUUUGGCUUCUUUUUCUAAAGACAUUGAAUUAAAAGUUUGCAGAGGACUUAUUUGUUUUUCUUCCCCAUUAAACUAAUAAGUAAUUUUGAGUUACUUAUAAAGGGUGCAAAGUUUACUUGCUCAAAACCAUGCCUUGUUAAUCCUAUCUUGCAAGAGAAGAAUAUCUAAAAUGGACCGUCUUUAAAUUUCUACAGGUAGAAUGAGAGCGUGAAAAACAUCACCUUGUAAUUUACGAAUCACUUUAGGAAAGGGGUAUUGCUAUUUACCUUUUACGAAUAGGUAUAUUAAACUGAUUGGUCUUUAAUGGUGCUAUUUUCCUUUUCUUAAUGCAAGAAGAGUUUGAUACCUACAAUCCUAGUGUUCAUUUGUUUGUGCAGUUACAAUUUCUUGCAAGAAGAUCCAGAAUCAUUUAGAUUGUUUCAGCAAAGGAUGCUAUUUUUGCCCUUGCGCAGUCAGGAUUAUGUGCUGCUUUUUGUCGAAGUAAGCAUUCUGUGCCUGCCAAUACUAUAAAAAAUAAAAACUUGUCGAAGUAAGCAUCCUGCGGCAUCACUUCUGCAUUUUGCGUUCUGUCGGAAAAUUUACAGAAUAUUCCCUCGGAAUAUUGCAGAAUCUGUUAUGUUCUAAGUUCCAACGGAAUAUUCUGAAAUUAUUGUUAGAUCAAACAAUACAUUAGUUGAGGGAUGAAUUCAAAAAACAAAGUUUUGGAAUGUGUUUCUGGUUGAGACUUGCGAGUGUCCUUGCGCCUUUUUUUCACUAUAAUUGGUAUCUUUUUUUUCUCUUGGCAGCAACAAACAAGCGGUUAUGUUUCUUGAAUAUUAGCCCGGAUGAAGUGAUUAGAUGCCUUUUCUAUAACAAGAACAACGAUUCACUUAUUACAGUCUCAGUUUAUGCUUCGGACAACUUCAGUUCUUUAAAGUGCAGGACAACUCCAAUAGAGUAAGAACUUCAAUCCAUCCGUUAAGUUUGAUUUUGCUAGUGAAUUCUCUAUGCAAAAUUUUAUUCUUUCAUCUAAAUUUGUUUAUGCUUUAAAGUUUGUAGUAUAAUAUAGUUGCUCUGAUUUAUCACUGCUUACUAUGCCAUUUUUAGACAAGCUUUUUAUAGCAGAUAGAUAAAAUAUGCAGCCAAGUAUCCUUUGGCAGAUUGGCACACAUGUCAGGGGCUUAUAACCAUAUUUGGAACCCAAGUUCAUUUUCUUUUUGGUGCUUUACAUUUUGUUAAGACCACAUAUUUACAUUUGUAAGACCAUAUAUUUACAUUUGUAUUCCACUAAAAUCUGAAUUUUGUAUAUAUAAACCUUUUAGAAGCACAGUUUCUUACCAAAAAUGUUUAUAUCUGAAGUUGGGAAAGGAAUCCAAGUUAUGGGAAAUAGUUGGAUUUUUAAUAGGAAAGUUUUGUCAAGAGGGCAAAUUUUUUUGAAGUACAUGGAUAUUCAUACGCGCACGUGUGUGUAGUAAAUAAGGAUUUUGAAGAGAAAAAAUUCAGAAUCCCGAGAUAUUGUAACUAUAUCAUUUUCCUUUAACAUCAAUGUAUUUAAAUAUCUCAGUUUCUGUCCUACUGUGGUAUUUGUAUAGCAACUUUGAUUAAGAUCUAUAGUUUUCUUGCUAUUGGCGUGCUCAUUCAGAACCUUUAACUCACUAAUUGUUUGAAAUGCGCCUUUGACAUUUUAUUAUUAAUUUUUGUCAGGUCUAUCAAGAGGAAUAGAUUUGUUGCUGCAAUUCUAAUGGGACUAAACCGUGAUUCUACAAGUAAAAUCGAUUUCAUAUUAUCUGUUCACGGUAGCUUAACAUCAAGCAGUUGAAUAUCUAUCUUGGAAUAUGUCUUUUCUUGGUUUUCUUAGCUUGAUUAUAGUAAUAUUUAGUUAGUUGGCAUUUGGUGAUAUUGUUGUCCUGCUACAAUCAUUUUUCUGCUUCUGGGAUGAUAGUUUUAGAAUUAUGGUUCGUCUAUUUUGCAGGCAUUCAAAGAAUAGAAAAAAAUUGUGUAUCUAGAAAAUAUGCCUGUCAGGUACUUUAUUAUGCAUGCAGGCUUGUAGAUUGUUUAAUUUAUAUAAUUUAUUUUUUUUCUUUUGUUUGUUGCAGGAAAUGAAUUACUGUUAAAAUAGGAGCUGAAGCAUUUUUCUUUUAUCAUUUUUUAAGUAUUUUCUAUUUUCAAAGUUGAGAGAGUAAGGAAUAAUGUUGAACUGUAUAUCGAAUAUUAUACUCUAUUGCCUUUAAAUUGAUUUUGCUAUUAUUUUGUUUUUAAGCUGUUGUUGAUCAGAAGUUAAUUAGCCUUUUAAAUUAUGUUAAAAGAAUAAUUUUGUUUAUUUUAAUAUUUUGUUUGUUAUUUUGUAUAUGUUUUGUUUAUAAAAUAUAAGCUGUAUAUUUUUAUAUUUAGUUUAUUACCUUUUUAUUAUUGGUGGCCAUUUAUUGCACAAUUGGUGGCGACAAAAUGUUGCCUCUUUAUUUUUAACUAAGGUGGCAACUGUGAUGGUUGUCACUUAAGGUAAAUAUUUGGUGGCAAAAAUGUAUUGCCAUCUUAUCUCCAUCUCCAUGAAAGGUGGCGACUAGUAAGGGCCACUAAAAAGUCCUAUUUGAUUGCGACAAAAUAUCGCCACGUUAUCUUUAAUAAGGCGGCGACUAAUAGUUGCCACUAAAAGUCAUAUUUGGUGGCGACAAAAUAUCGCCACGCUAUCUUUAAUAAAGUGGCGAUAAAUAAUGGCCACUAAAAGCCAUAUUUGGUGGCGAUAAAAUGUCGCCACGCUAUUUUCAAAAAGGUGGCGAUUUUUCAUGCUUCGCCACAAUUUCAUUUAGCGGCAACACUUUCGGUGGCAGCUUGUGGCGACUUUGAAAGUCGCCACCUUUUGAAAAGGUGGCAAUUUUUUAUAUAUAUGGUGGCGACAUUACUCGCCACUAAUAUAUAAUAUUCUUGUAGUGUUAAGAGUUAAAAAAUGAACGGUCAUAAAUGAAUAACCUUCUUAAAAUAGAGGUUAGACCAUUUCAAUUCAUAAUCAGAGUUAUCAAACAUUAUCUAAAUAGUAUAAAGAAUUUUCUAUUAAAAAUUCAAGCAAUUUGGAUUGCUCUACACCGUUAAACAAGCAAACGGCUCAUAUAGGCCAUCAAAAAUUGUCGAUUUUACGACACUUUGAUCACCAUGUAAAUAAUUUUUAAAAUUUAUGAAAUUUAGUUUCUAGAUAUUUCAAAUACUCUAUAUCAACUUCAACAGCUCCGAUUAUCGAUUCGGAAUCUCGAUCAUCAAGAAUAAUUUGAUAGGACAAGUGUUCCUAUCCUAUUAAUAGGAUAAUAGCUCUAACCUAUAUAUAUAUAUAUAUAUAGGGCUAGAGUUGAUCUAGGAUACUUUUACAAGUAUCAUCCCCAUAUUGCUAUCACGUUUUUAGCUAUUGGAUCUACUUUUUAAUUACAAAUAGCCCUUGGAUCAAACACUAUUCCACCNAAUAUAAAUUUUAUAAUUUUUCAAUAUCUUUUACUUAAUGGUCAAAAUGAUUCAAAAUCAAUGACUGAACGUAAAAAUCUUACAAAGAAUGAUGAUAUAAAACUAAAAUUUUAGAUUAAAUAUAUUAAUCUUAAUUAUUUUAUACAGUAUAAUUUUUUUAUUAAUAUUUUACUUGAUUUAGAUAUUUUUACAUAUAAACUUGCAAAUGGCUCAUCACGACUGUUAAAAUUAUUGAUUAGGGGCAUCUUCAAUCAUUAGGUAAGUGAAAUUGAAAAAUUGUGAAAUUUACUUUUUAGGCACUUUAAAUAUUUUAGAUCAAAUCUAACGGACACGAUUAUCGAUUCGAAAGUGCUAGCAUCAAUAACGACUUGAUAUAAUGGAGACCGUCGUACUUCUAAAAGCACACAAACCUAAUAUUUUCUCUCCAUAUAGAAAGAGAGAGUAAAAGUAGAAUACUAUUGAUAGUGUGGCAGUAUGAGAAUAGUGUUUACUAUUAACUUUUUGACCAUUAGAUAUCUAGAGUUUAGGAAAGGUUGGUAAAAUAGUGAUAAGCCAAGGGUGAAAAAAUUGAUAGUAAAUACUAUUUGUAUACUAUUAGUAGCAUACUCCAAUGUUUUUUUUCGGAGCUGAAAUACUUUUAUAAGUAUUGGUCAUUUUUACUUCUAACAUUUCAUGGAUUCCCCCUUAAACUAUUAUUGGCUAGCCUUUGAUUUGGAUCCUCUUUAACUAUUACUGGCUAGUCUUUGGAUUAAUACUAUUUACCAACCACUACUAAAUUUUAGAAAAAUUAUUAUCACUUCAACUCUACGCUCCUUUAUUCAAAGAUUAAAACCGUAAAUAAACCCAAUACUCUUUAGAAUAUUUAUUUUAAUUUAUAUAUAUAUAUAUAUAUAUAUAUAUAUAUAUAUAUAUAUAUAUAUAUAUAUAUAGUUUUUUUAUUAAAUAAAUAAGUUUUUGAUAAAUUUUUAACAAAUUCUUUAAAUUUUGAAUAAUUUAAACUAAUAUUUUUAAAAAAUGAAUUAAAAUAUAUUAAUAAAGAAAAUAAAUAAAUAAACAGGCCGGGAUGGUGGUUAGGCCCAAGUCCAAAAUGGACUGGGUCGCACCAGGCUGCCCCUGGCCCUGUAGCCCGGCACUGUCCGCAUUUGGAUGUGAGUUGGGCUGUCCCAGGCCCAGCAGUGCCGGGCCAUCUGUCUGCCAUCCAUGUCAUCUCCGAACUGACUGAUAGCAAUUUAAUGUAUAAAUAAAUAAAUAAAAGAAAAAAACUUCAAAUACCACUCCUGUAUUUUCAUAUUUUUUUAUUUUUGUAUCAUGUGGUUUAAAGUAUAUCAAUUCAGUACCCUGUGUUUUUAUUUUUCUCUUUUUAUUAUCCAUCCUACUAAUUUUUUUCGUUAAAUCAGUGACAAAGUUAAAACUAAAGGGUGCUAGAGUGAAUAUUCGAUAAAGCUAUAUCUGAAGUUUUUUUAUAUAAUUUAACAAAAUAUUAAAGGAUGAGCUGACGAAAAGAAAAAAAUAAAACCACAAGAGUACUAAUUUGAUGCAUUUUAAACCAUAUGGUACUAAAAUAAAAAAGUACGAAACCACAAGGGUGGUAUUUGAAGUUUACCCAUAAAUAAAUACAUCAAAUUUUAAAAUUAAUUUCCCAUAAAACUGAGCCAUUUUAUCCUAUACUCAAACAAAUUUUACAAUACUUUACUAACUAGUAAAUUUGACUGUAUUUAAUUGAUAAAAAAGUGAAAAUCACAAGAAAAAAGGCAUUACUUAUUAUUUUGUGGUUGAAAUCUAAUCAUUAAAUUGUAUUGUUUAUAAAAUAUUUUGAGAUUUAUUCAUAAGAAAAUUAUUUUUCUUCGUUUAUUAGGACGUUGUCUAACAUAUAUAAAACAAAGGAUUAUUGAACCUUAUUCAAAAAUAUUGCCUAAAUUCAAUUUGAUAUUUGGUCAACAUAAAAGUCAGAUUUUAGUCACUAACAUAUUAUAAUGGGGCUUUUGACCUUGGACAAAGUUUUAGAUAGCUUAUGUAAUGCAAGUUUUUAGUAAGCUUCCUUUGAUUCGAGGUUAAGUAAAAACUAGUUAUUACAGGAUAGGGUUCAGUUCAGGAUUAAACCUGAAAUAGAUUAAUUUUACGUUUGGAUGAUAAUUAAGUUGUUUCCGGAAUUAAGAAAAAUAAUAUUUGGAUAGAUAAGAUAGAAUAAAAAGAAUAGUGAUUAAUUAUAAAUAGAAAAUAAUGAUAUUACCCCAAUUAUUAUAUUUAAUUUUUAAAUAUUUUAUUUUAUAUUUAAAAUUUUAAAUUUAAAUAGAUAAUUUUUACAAUUAAAAAAUUUAAAAUUAAAAUCUAAAAAUUAUAAAAAAAAUAUUGAUUUUAAAAUUUUUAAUUUUAAAAUUUAAAAAUUUAAAAUUUAAAUUGAUAUUUAAAAAUUAAAUAGGGAUGAGAUUAGCUAAUC